This 297-nucleotide ribosomal RNA is filed under the name Rhizobium yanglingense. RNAcentral describes it as "partial 16S ribosomal RNA". It matches the Rfam family "Bacterial small subunit ribosomal RNA", at positions 1 to 327 of the family's 1533-position model. The record is from RNAcentral. Lineage: Bacteria; Pseudomonadati; Pseudomonadota; Alphaproteobacteria; Hyphomicrobiales; Rhizobiaceae.
UCAACAUGAGAGUUUGAUCCUGGCUCAGAACGAACGCUGGCGGCAGGCUUAACACAUGCAAGUCGAGCGCCCCGCAAGGGGAGCGGCAGACGGGUGAGUAACGCGUGGGAACGUACCCUUUACUACGGAAUAACGCAGGGAAACUUGUGCUAAUACCGUAUGUGCCCUUCGGGGGAAAGAUUUAUCGGUAAGGGAUCGGCCCGCGUUGGAUUAGCUAGUUGGUGGGGUAAAGGCCUACCAAGGCGACGAUCCAUAGCUGGUCUGAGAGGAUGAUCAGCCACAUUGGGACUGAGACAC